Molecule: transfer RNA, 58 nt
Filed under: Anolis distichus (bark anole)
Lineage: Eukaryota; Metazoa; Chordata; Lepidosauria; Squamata; Anolidae
Also listed under: 1 other name
Description: partial tRNA-Trp
Source: RNAcentral
AAAAACUUAGGAUAUUUAAAYCAAGGGCCUUCAAAGCCCUAAAAAAGGGCGCAAACCC